UACGUAGGGCGCAAGCGUUGUCCGGAAUUAUUGGGCGUAAAGAGCUCGUAGGCGGUUUGUCGCGUCUGCUGUGAAAACCUAAGGCUCAACCUUGGGCUUGCAGUGGGUACGGGCAGACUAGAGUGCGGUAGGGGGUGACUGGAAUUCCUGGUGUAGCGGUGGAAUGCGCAGAUAUCAGGAGGAACACCGAUGGCGAAGGCAGGUCACUGGGCCGCAACUGACGCUGAGGAGCGGAAAGCAUGGGGAGCGAACAG
Molecule: ribosomal RNA, 254 nt
Filed under: uncultured bacterium
Lineage: Bacteria
Description: partial 16S ribosomal RNA
Rfam family: Bacterial small subunit ribosomal RNA
Source: RNAcentral